AAAUAAAGACAGGGGGGCGACGAAAAGUUCACGAAUAGAACUUGAAUUGCCGUGGAUUAUUUAUAUUUUUUUAUUUUUUGUUGUAAUCUUUCUUUUUAAUGUGUUACGUUUAUAUAUUACGUCGAAUGUACGUCAAUCUUCUUUUAUAUCGCAUCAUAUAAAUCGCCGAGGAGGCGAUGACGCGAUGUUUCGGCUUUCGAAGGACAAUUAUGGAGACAAUUGCAACCUCGUACGUACUAUUUGUGAUGAUUUCCAUCAAGUAAAAAGGUACAGUAUGAAUUUGAAAAUGUCUAAAAGUAUUUUAUUGUUACAAAUUAUUUAGCAGAUUCCCAUGAGUUAACACGUGCACGUGCACUCUGGCGAAUAUCGCAAUGUUGGCAAUGCGGUUGCCUUUAAUUAUUUGUUAUUGACCAGCUCUAUGAAAUAUAUAUUUCGAAGGCUGUUAUAUUUUAUACAGUAUGUUAUAGCUGAAUUUGUAUUUUAAAUAUCGAGAAACACAUGGCCAGACAGUGGCCUAUAAUAUUAUACUCGGACUCUCAGUAAAGUCUACUUCUCACAUGAUUAUUAUUUACAAUUGAUUGAUUUAUCACAGCAGUAUUAACUUCAAAUAUUUACUUUGUUUUUUUACAUUUACAUUUAAUGACCUGAAAUUAUUUAAAUAAUUAAACCAUUAUUAAUAACAGAGUGGCCAGGUUGACAAAGCUAAAAUCUGAUGAACCUCAAGGUCUUGAACUGCUAGGAUAUUUUAAUAGUCAAACAUCAGUUUCAGCAUUUAUGAGUUAAUGAGUAUUUUUAAUAUCCAUGACAACUGCAGCUGGUCAGGGAUUUUUUAGGGAAAAGGUUUAGCACCCCAUCGUAAAAACCUGCCCCCGAAUCUCAAACUUUCAUUAUUUUGUUCCCUUGCCCCUACAUAUAUUUUGUUCCCUUGCCCCCUAUACAAAGGUACAAACCUUUUGUACCCUUGAGAUCUUUUAAAAAAUUGCCUAACUCAGCAGUGUGGCUUGUAACCUUGUUGCCAUAAUUAUUUUCUGAAGGCUUCAAUAAAUUUCUACUCUAACACCUGACAGAGAUGGGGGCCAUAUGCAUGAACAAGAAGAAAUGAUUUCUUCAUCUAUCGACCCCUUACCUUUCACCAAAUUUUUUAAUAAAUUAAUUUAUUAAAUGAUUUUGAAGUUUUCUAGAUUAUUGAAAAGAAAUUUAUGGGUACAAGAUAUGGGGCAGAAACAGUUAAAUUAAGCAAGAUAUAUGCAAGUAACAAUGAACAAGACCAGAUCACUGGAUGGUAUUUCAGCACACUGGUGGACAUGCAACUUAAUACCUGCACCUGUGUCACAUUUAUAUAGUUUUACACUGUACUGUCUGGAAAAAU
Paramuricea clavata is the source of this 1369-nucleotide non-coding RNA. The record is from the annotation of a GenBank genome assembly. Lineage: Eukaryota; Metazoa; Cnidaria; Anthozoa; Malacalcyonacea; Plexauridae.